UCUUAUACAGAGAGGUGGAGGGGAGUACCCUGCGAAGCCCGGCAACCGUCAAAUUACUUGAAAUGGUGCCAAGUCACACAAAGCGUAUGCUUUGAAAGAUGAGA
This 104-nucleotide non-coding RNA is filed under the name uncultured Sporosarcina sp. RNAcentral describes it as "SAM riboswitch (S box leader)". It matches the Rfam family "SAM riboswitch aptamer (S box leader)". Rfam says of the family: The SAM riboswitch is found upstream of a number of genes which code for proteins involved in methionine or cysteine biosynthesis in Gram-positive bacteria. Lineage: Bacteria; Bacillati; Bacillota; Bacilli; Caryophanales; Caryophanaceae. The record is from RNAcentral.